GAACGAGAAAGUGGAGCAAUCCAUGAGUAAAGUGGCGACCGGGUGAGUAACACGUGACCAACCUGCCCUCGAGUGGGGAAUAACUCCGGGAAACCGGAGCUAAUACCGCAUAACAUCGCAAGAUCAAAGCCGCAAGGCGCUUGAGGAGGGGGUCGCGGCUGAUUAGCUAGUUGGUAGGGUAAUGGCCCACCAAGGCGAAGAUCGGUAUCCGGCCUGAGAGGGCGCACGGACACACUGGAACUGAAACACGGUCCAGACUCCUACGGGAGGCAGCAGUGGGGAAUUUUGCGCAAUGGGGGAAACCCUGACGCAGCAACGCCGCGUGGAGGAUGAAGCCCUUUGGGGCGUAAACUCCUUUCGACUCGGACGAUAAUGACGGUACGAGUGGAAGAAGCACCGGCUAACUCUGUG
This 411-nucleotide ribosomal RNA is filed under the name uncultured bacterium. RNAcentral's name for it is "bacterial SSU rRNA". It matches the Rfam family "Bacterial small subunit ribosomal RNA", at positions 64 to 507 of the family's 1533-position model. The record is from RNAcentral.